AUGUUCUAAACAAGAGGCACUGUGGUACUUGUUCUAAAUAAGAGCACCAACUCUGCAAUCAGCCAGUCCCAGCUCUGCAACUCAUGGCCUGUGUGACCUUGGAAUGGAUGAAGCUAACUGCUGUGGUGUCAUGGAAACCUAAUAGAAAUAUCAGGAAGUGAAAGGAAGUGUUGAAGAAAGCAUCAUAGAAAGCCUGCUACCAACUGAGUUCCAGAGAUACUAGAAACAGCCUUUUCUACUUUCCUGUUUUUAGAGAGAGAAUCUUCCUAUUCAUGCUUGGAAGACUGCAGCUAUUCUAUACUGAUAACUAAGAAACAACUUGGAGAUAGUCACUUGCUCCAGUUGAAUUGAAUUGUCCAGUUUGGAUGGCUGAGGAAAUGAAGCUCACCUUUAAAAAUG
Molecule: non-coding RNA, 399 nt
Organism: Heterocephalus glaber (naked mole-rat)
Lineage: Eukaryota; Metazoa; Chordata; Mammalia; Rodentia; Bathyergidae
Source: RefSeq, a predicted model, not a curated record